Molecule: long non-coding RNA, 3682 nt
Filed under: Olea europaea (common olive)
Lineage: Eukaryota; Viridiplantae; Streptophyta; Magnoliopsida; Lamiales; Oleaceae
Description: long non-coding RNA (OEUR_LNC013932)
Source: RNAcentral
AACAAUAUUAUCUCCUCGAACAGGAGAACACACGGCGCCUCCCGCCAUGACUACAAUCUCUAUUCUCUCCUCUCUCUCACACCGCACUUUCACCUCAUACAAUGACAAAUCCUCUUCAUUUUUUCUAUUAAAACCUUUUCUCCAGUUCCAACCUCUCCAAUUCCUCCGCACUACAAAUUACUCUCAAUUCAAAACUUCAUACAAAUUCCCCAAGUCAAGUUUUCCAAUCGAAUCACAAUCUCAACUCUCCGAAGAAGAAAAUGAAGCCGAAAGUGAUGUGGAUGAGGAUGAUGACGUGGUGGCAGAAGAGUACGACGUCGUUUCUGGUGAAUUAGGUGAAGAGAGUGAAGAGGAAGAAGAAGAAGAAGAAGGGCUGUGAGUUUGUCAAAAAAAAUAAAAAAAGAAAGAAAGAAAGAGAUAUGGUUUAUAUUUUCUUGAAGCAAUAUCAAUCUUUAGCCUAACUGCAACAAUUUUAAAUGAUAAAAUCACUUUACAAAAUUGUGGCAUGACAUAUAUGGGAGAAAAGAAUUAAAAUCUUUACAAACUCAAUAUAUGUUUUUUAUAAAAUAAUUUUGUGAUGUUAUUUACUGUGAACAAUGUGUUAUAUGUAAGCAGAUUAAGUUGCAUUUUCUGCUUGAAAUUCAUAAAUCUAAACAUCUACUUGAACAUUUGCAUGCUGAUUUUUGGGGCUUACAUAUGUUACUACUCAAGCUGGUUUUAAAUAUUAUUUAUUGCCUACAUCUGUAUCAUUUGUAACUGCUAAUAGAUUUGACUUAAAAGAGAAAUUGAUACUGACUAAUUAUGUUGAUGUUAGUUAAAUGAAAACAAAAAUUAUUUGACCUAAAAUUAUAUAAAACUCAGAAAUUUACGAAUGGCUUAAAUUUGUCCUAAAUUUGGAUGAAAAUUCACGUUUAAUUCUCUAUAGGAAAAUGAGAUAUUUUUUAGUAUUGUGGAUUUUUAGAUACUAUACAAUCAAUCAAAUGGAUGGAUUAAAUCUAAUCAAAAAGGAUGUUUUUGUUAGGAAAGUGAUUACGAAAAAUAGGACUCAAAAUUCAAGUAUAAUAAAAAUUUCAUAAUCCAGAAAAAUUAUCAUAUUCAUUUUAUAUCAAUUUGGCGACAUGGUCAAGUGGCAAGGCGGGGACGACAAGCGUUGCCCCCCAGGGAACAUCCCAACUGGCAAAGAUGAGGGCGCUUCAAUGCUGACAGAUCAGAGGUCGUGAAUUCGAUUCCUGAAAGGUUCUUGGAAGGCAGAUAUUCUCCUGGAAGGUAGAAUUUAUCUUGGAAGGCAUGAGCUCUACUGGAAGACAAGGUGCAAAGAUGGAAAACGACUUGUUUGACACUUUGGUAGAUCAGUUGGGGGGUUUUUUAGCACUGGUCAGUUUGGAGCACAACCUGUGGUUUAACCUGUGUGCAGCUUGAGGGGCCAAAGUGUAGACUCCAGGAUUUAGUUAUUGUAAGAUGGAUACCUGGAUAUAAAAAAAAUAAAAAUAAAUAAAUAAAUAAAGAGCUUCUACAAAUCGUACUCUUUCAAACGAUUAAGAGUUUCUGUCGAAGACUCUUUAUUUAUAAAGAGUAUCUUAUGUCUUAUAGUGGGUAUCUUUAAAUUUAAAGAGUCAAAAUUUUUAUGUAAACCAUCGAUGAUCUUUAUUUUGUUUUUAUUUUUUUUUAUUUUACUUUCUCAAGAAAUAUUUAUUGAAUUAUCUUUAUAUUUUAUUUAACACAAUUUUUUAUAUGCCGAUGAUCAAUCAAUAAAUGUGAUUUAAAUAGUUUAAAAAGUAAAAUAUUGAAAUAUGUGACUUAUUAAGUGCGUAAAUUAAGCAUUAAUUCUUUAAAAUAAAAAAAAUAUUUUAUAUUUAUAAAGUCUUGAAAGUCCCUUUUUUAAGUAGAGUGCCAAGUUAAAAAUUGAAUAUCAACAAACAAAGAAAUCUUGGUACUAUCAGUCCAUAACUGUAUUGGGACAUCUCCUCUCUUUAAUUCGUACUACCCUUCCUUUACGCCUCCCUUCUUCAUAAUCUAGUCUCGUAAACAAAUAUGUAGAGUUGGGAUUUAAGAAAACAAGCUAUCUCGAUUAUCAACCUGGAGAAUUUCUUGAUCCAACAAACUAUCUCGCAGGUGAGAUUAAGUUAAAUUUGUAGUAAACAAUUUGUUGUCAUAUGUCGCAAACCGAUGGUGGUUGUUUUGGCAGCGGUAUUGUGAGAAUUCAAGUGGCAGAGGGUUGAGAGGCUACGAAAUGAAGUGCGAGAGUUUGGUGAGGAAAUCAUUGAUGUUGAGGAGCUGUCGUCUAUUUACAAUUUCAGAAUUGAUAAAUUUCAGGUUAAUUUUCAAUUUUUUGGUGAAAUCUGAUCUUAAGAUGUGUCUAUGCACGAUCAUUCUACUGUUGUAGAGCAGCUAUUAUUACAGCAUAAGGCACAACUAUUUAUAUAUUUCAGGACAGUUUAGAGUUUCACUAACAAAAUACCUGUUUGCGCCAAUGCCUAUGUGUCUCUGUAUAAUGUACUUAUAGUCGUGAAUGCAUAGAAUAAUAUGUAAGCGGAGUGUACAGACCUGUUGACAUAUUUGUUCGUUUGGAAAAGUUAAGUAUGAGUGUUAAUGUGCAAUGAAUAGAAAAGCUUGAUAUAUAUAAAUGGAUGAAAAUUCACGUUUAAUUCUCUAUAGGAAAAUGAGAUAUUUUUUAGUAUUGUGGAUUUUUAGAUACUAUACAAUCAAUCAAAUGGAUGGAUUAAAUCUAAUCAAAAAGGAUGUUUUUGUUAGGAAAGUGAUUACGAAAAAUAGGACUCAAAAUUCAAGUAUAAUAAAAAUUUCAUAAUCCAGAAAAAUUAUCAUAUUCAUUUUAUAUCAAUUUGGCGACAUGGUCAAGUGGCAAGGCGGGGACGACAAGCGUUGCCCCCCAGGGAACAUCCCAACUGGCAAAGAUGAGGGCGCUUCAAUGCUGACAGAUCAGAGGUCGUGAAUUCGAUUCCUGAAAGGUUCUUGGAAGGCAGAUAUUCUCCUGGAAGGUAGAAUUUAUCUUGGAAGGCAUGAGCUCUACUGGAAGACAAGGUGCAAAGAUGGAAAACGACUUGUUUGGCACUUUGGCAGAUCAGUUGGAAGGGCUCUGAGCACUGGUCAUUUGCGGCAUAAUCUGAGGUUUAACCUGUCUGCAACUUGAGGGGUCAAGGUGUAGACUCCAGGAUUUAGUCACUGUAAGAUGGAUAUCUGGAUAUAAAAAAAAAAAAAAAAAGGCGGGGACGGCAAGCGCAAAUCCUUUUUCUCCUGUUCACCUUAUCCUUAUUACGGAGAAGGCUAUUUGGAAAAAAUGUCCAAAAAGGCCUGUGGCAUUGAGAAGGUCCACAUCUGUACAUUUACAAAUUUAUGAGGUAUCUUAAUGAAAAAAGAAAAACAAUAACAAUAUUAUCUCCUCGAACAGGAGAACACACGGCGCCUCCCGCCAUGACUACAAUCUCUAUUCUCUCCUCUCUCUCACACCGCACUUUCACCUCAUACAAUGACAAAUCCUCUUCAUUUUUUCUAUUAAAACCUUUUCUCCAGUUCCAACCUCUCCAAUUCCUCCGCACUACAAAUUACUCUCAAUUCAAAACUUCAUACAAAUUCCCCAAGUCAAGUUUUCCAAUCGAAUCACAAUCUCAACUCUCCGAAGAAGAAAAUGAAGCCGAAAGUGAUGUGGAUGAGGAUGAUGACGUGG